AGGCAGACCGGAUUAUGAUGAUUCUCAUUUGUUUCAUCACCAUGUCCAGCUUUUGGAUGCUGUUUGUUCCAGCUGCUGAGGUCCAGCAGGUCCUCUUUGGUUCAAACGUCACUCUGGGGUGCAACAUCUCCUACCUGUACGACAUGACAACGUGGCUGAAGCAAAACCCAGACCUCAUUCCUACCGUGGUCCUCCACGCCAGCCUCCGGGAGGGACGGCCGGUUGAAUUGUUUCAGCUCAGUCUUCGUCAUUCAGCGAGUCUCAUGAAUCGGUCUCUAGCCCUGAAGAUCACGGCUGUUGAAGUGGGGGAUCUGGGCCUGUAUUACUGCAUUGCCAACAUGAAUGGACGUCUGAUAAUUGGGAAAGGAACACGGAUUCAUAAUUCCUCCCAGUUUCUGUUCCAGCACUGGUACUCUGCAGCUGUGUGUUCUGGGCUGCUGAUUAUGAUUGUGACGGUUUGUGUUACUCAUUGGAAAACCAGACAGAGGAAGUGA
This is a non-coding RNA of Poeciliopsis prolifica (blackstripe livebearer), 494 nucleotides long. Lineage: Eukaryota; Metazoa; Chordata; Actinopteri; Cyprinodontiformes; Poeciliidae. The record is from the annotation of a RefSeq genome assembly.